This 253-nucleotide ribosomal RNA is filed under the name uncultured bacterium. Its description in RNAcentral is "partial 16S ribosomal RNA". It matches the Rfam family "Bacterial small subunit ribosomal RNA", at positions 524 to 776 of the family's 1533-position model. The record is from RNAcentral.
UACGUAGGGAGCAAGCGUUGUUCGGAUUUACUGGGCGUAAAGGGCGCGUAGGCGGCAGAUCAAGUCAGUUGUGAAAUCUCUGAGCUUAACUCAGAACUGUCAACUGAUACUGCUCUGCUAGAGUGCGGAAGGGGCAAUCGGAAUUCUUGGUGUAGCGGUGAAAUGCGUAGAUAUCAGGAAGAACACCAAUGGCGAAGGCAGCUCUCCGGGACGGUACUGACGCUGAGACGCGAAAGCGUGGGGAGCGAACAGG